CAGGACGGCCAUAGGGAUGGAGUUCACCUGUUCCCAUUUCGAACACAGAAGUUAAGGCCAUUUCCGUUCCUGGUUGUACUGCACUGCGCGGGAACCCAGGUUAGCUGUUUGUU
RNAcentral lists this ribosomal RNA (113 nucleotides) under Candidatus Woesearchaeota archaeon. The record is from RNAcentral. Lineage: Archaea; Nanobdellati; Candidatus Woesearchaeota.